RNAcentral lists this ribosomal RNA (482 nucleotides) under uncultured Planctomycetota bacterium. RNAcentral's name for it is "bacterial SSU rRNA". It matches the Rfam family "Bacterial small subunit ribosomal RNA", at positions 355 to 835 of the family's 1533-position model. Lineage: Bacteria; Pseudomonadati; Planctomycetota. The record is from RNAcentral.
UCGAGAAUCUUCGGCAAUGAGCGCAAGCUUGACCGAGCGACGCCGCGUGCGGGAUGAAGGCCCUCGGGUUGUAAACCGCGAAAGUAGGGAGGAAAUCGCUGGGGGUUCUCCCCCAGUGUUGACCUAUCUUCAGUAAGGACGGGCUAAGUUCGUGCCAGCAGCCGCGGUAAUACGAACCGUCCAAACGUUAUUCGGAUUUAUUGGGCUUAAAGGGUAUGUAGGCGGCCCUGCAAGUCGGGUGUGAAAGCCCUCGGCUCAACCGAGGAACUGCGCCCGAUACUGCAGGGCUUGAGGGAGACAGAGGUAAGCGGAACUGAUAGUGGAGCGGUGAAAUGCGUUGAUAUCAUCAGGAACACCAGUGGCGAAAGCGGCUUACUGGGUCUCUUCUGACGCUGAGAUACGAAAGCUAGGGGAGCGAACGGGAUUAGAUACCCCGGUAGUCCUAGCUGUAAACGAUGAGCACUUGAUCGAGGGGCCCCCCA